GAUGAAGAACGCAGCGAAAUGCGAUAAGUAAUGUGAAUUGCAGAAUUCAGUGAAUCAUCGAAUCUUUGAACGCACAUUGCGCCCGCCAGUAUUCUGGCGGGCAUGCCUGUUCGAGCGUCAUUACAACCCUCAGGCCCCCGGGCCUGGCGUUGGGGAUCGGCGGAAGCCCCCUGCGGGCACAACGCCGUCCCCCAAAUACAGUGGCGGUCCCGCCGCAGCUUCCAUUGCGUAGUAGCUAACACCUCGCAACUGGAGAGCGGCGCGGCCACGCCGUAAAACACCCAACUUCUGAAUGUUGACCUCGAAUCAGGUAGGAAUACCCGCUGAACUUAAGCAUAUCAUAAGCGGAGA
RNAcentral lists this unclassified non-coding RNA (351 nucleotides) under soil metagenome. RNAcentral describes it as "partial contains 5.8S ribosomal RNA, internal transcribed spacer 2, and large subunit ribosomal RNA". The stretch from base 1 to 120 matches the Rfam family "5.8S ribosomal RNA", at positions 35 to 154 of the family's 154-position model. The record is from RNAcentral.